This is a long non-coding RNA of Ctenocephalides felis (cat flea), 1954 nucleotides long. RefSeq lists it as uncharacterized. NCBI's taxonomy places the organism in Eukaryota, Metazoa, Arthropoda, Insecta, Siphonaptera, Pulicidae. The transcript has 8 exons. The record is from RefSeq and is a predicted model, not a curated record.
GCCGUCUAACCUACAACAAGUAUUCGUAAAUGUAAAAUUAUUAUUUCUGUGUUCAACAGAUUCUGUAUAUAAUUUCUUCGCGUGUUUCUUUUUAUACCAUAAAGUUUGGUUCUUCAUCACGGAUAAUAUUAAUAAAAUCAGUGCUAAUAUAUAUAAAAGGACGCCGAUUUUUUCGCCGUGAAGAAAGUUGAUAAAAAGUUUCAAAAAUGGUUGAACCUUAAAACUAUUCACGCUAAAAACAAGAAUUGAAUACGCUCAAGCUCAACAAUAGAGCAGCAAUACUUAUUAUUGGUGAAUUGAGUGAAUGCACGCAGAUUUCAUUUGAGAAGAAGUUAGGCGCACGAGGCUCCAGAGUUUGUCAUCGCUGUUAUUCGUGUUACUGGGGCUCAUCUGAGAAUUGGAGCACACCUGGCACAGAAGGCUAUGUCGCACCUUAUACAAUAACAACACAAGACACUGUCAUACAAGGGUUUGGAGCACCGGAGUGGCGUGAAAGCGGUAUUUACGACAAUUGUAACUUGUAAGAUUUUACCUGAAGCCAAGUACAUUGAAUUGUUACUCAUUUGUAUUUAGAAGACUAUUGGAAUCCUGAGAAGCGUAUCAGAAAUUUGAAGUUAAGAUGUUUGUCCAAUUGGCGUCAUGUUAAUACUUUAAAUCUCUUUGGAGUCUUGCAAACUGAUAUUUGUUCAAAUUUCAAUUGCUGUAGUGUUUAUUAGAAAAUAGUAUUAUUACGAUGUUAAAGUUUUGUGUGUGAAGUGAUUUUUGUGAUACAUUCCAAGGAGUUUUUAUUAUCGGAGUAUGGAUGCUGACUUCCAGCUAAUCAAGAAUGAUUGUAAGGCGCUGUGUUUGCCGACAGACAGAAGCUCAAACAACAUGAUAAUGGCGCUGGUUCUUUCGGAAGCCGAUCGGCCAUUAUGCAAUUCUGCGUACAGAGAAGGACAACUAUGUCAUGUGCGAGUGCGCUCGAGUACUAUUUCGCACUCUGUUCCACGCAUAGGAGUUAAUGCGCAAGACAAGGACAAAGAUAUGUCGCAGGCGUAGGCCACGCCCAUCACCGCCCAUCACCUAUCACCUAGUUGCUCUCCCCACCACUCGAAUCGGCCUGCCUGCCAUUGCGAGAGGAUAUCAUUUCGUUUUCGACUGCGGCGGUGUACGGUGUACGGCUAGAAGGGUCUCGGCGAAAUGGACGUAGCCGAGACCGGCUUGUUGCUGUUUGUAAUUGUGCCCUUAUCAAGUCUAAUUUACAUGAGAAAUUGGAACUGAUGCAGCACCGUUUACAGGAGAAAAGUUUGCCGACAGACAGAAGCUCAAACAACAUGAUAAUGGCGCUGGUUCUUUCGGAAGCCGAUCGGCCAUUAUGCAAUUCUGCGUACAGAGAAGGACAACUAUGUCAUGUGCGAGUGCGCUCGAGUACUAUUUCGCACUCUGUUCCACGCAUAGGAGUUAAUGCGCAAGACAAGGACAAAGAUAUGUCGCAGGCGUAGGCCACGCCCAUCACCGCCCAUCACCUAUCACCUAGUUGCUCUCCCCACCACUCGAAUCGGCCUGCCUGCCAUUGCGAGAGGAUAUCAUUUCGUUUUCGACUGCGGCGGUGUACGGUGUACGGCUAGAAGGGUCUCGGCGAAAUGGACGUAGCCGAGACCGGCUUGUUGCUGUUUGUAAUUGUGCCCUUAUCAAGUCUAAUUUACAUGAGAAAUUGGAACUGAUGCAGCACCGUUUACAGGAGAAAAGGUAUGCCCGAUACAAGCUAUACUAUUAAAUGAGCACAUUUGGUUUGUCAUCAUGCUGCCCAAGAGAUACAGUAGUUGCUGUUAAAGUACUUCAUCAAACCCGAUAUUGGUUUCAAUGGCACUUUUGUAGAUGGUGUGUGGUGAGUGAUACUCUCUUCAGCAUGCUCGUCUUCUAGAGCAGGGGUCGGCAAGCUUUUAACUGUAGUGUGCCAAGCCACUCUACC